This 468-nucleotide ribosomal RNA is filed under the name uncultured bacterium. RNAcentral's name for it is "partial 16S ribosomal RNA". It matches the Rfam family "Bacterial small subunit ribosomal RNA", at positions 28 to 507 of the family's 1533-position model. The record is from RNAcentral.
GACGAACGCUGGCGGCGUGCCUAAUACAUGCAAGUCGAACGGAAAGGUCCUGCUCUUGCUGGGCUCUCGAGUGGCGAACGGGUGAGUAACACGCGAGUAACCCCUCCCUGACUUUGGGAUAAAUCUAGGAAACUGGGGCUCAAAUCCGGUAGGAGCUCCUGCUGCACGGUGGGGGGUGGAAAGGUUCGGCGGUUGGGGAUGGACUCGCGGCUUAUCCGCUUGUUGGUGGGGUAGUGGCUUACUAAGGCUUUGACGGGUAGCCGGCCUGAGAGGGUGACCGGCCACAUUGGGACUGAGAUACGGCCCAGACUCCUACGGGAGGCAGCAGUGGGGAAUAUUGCACAAUGGGCGGAAGCCUGAUGCAGCAACGCCGCGUGCGGGAUGACGGCCUUCGGGUUGUAAACCGCUUUCGCCUGUGACGAAGCGUGAGUGACGGUAAUGGGUAAAGAAGCACCGGCUAACUACGUG